UUAAUUUGACUCAACACGGGGAAACUCACCAGGUCCAGACAUAGGAAGGAUUGACAGAUUGAGAGCUCUUUCUUCCCUCACGGUUAUCCAAGAUGGCGUCU
This 101-nucleotide ribosomal RNA is filed under the name Nematostella vectensis (starlet sea anemone). RNAcentral describes it as "Eukaryotic small subunit ribosomal RNA". It matches the Rfam family "Eukaryotic small subunit ribosomal RNA", at positions 1190 to 1295 of the family's 1831-position model. The record is from Rfam by way of RNAcentral. Lineage: Eukaryota; Metazoa; Cnidaria; Anthozoa; Actiniaria; Edwardsiidae.